GCCUAUAGCUCAGCGGAUAAAGCACCUAUUUACUAAACAGGAAGUCAAUGGUUUGACCCUAUCUAGCGCA
RNAcentral lists this transfer RNA (70 nucleotides) under Salix viminalis (osier). The record is from RNAcentral. Lineage: Eukaryota; Viridiplantae; Streptophyta; Magnoliopsida; Malpighiales; Salicaceae.